AUGAGCUGCGGCUCUGGCGGCGCCGCGGGGCCGGGGGACGGCGGGCGGGCCGAGUGGCAGCGCAUCUACGACCGGGUCGAGGCACUCGCCGCCGGCCGCGCGCGGCUGGAGGCGCGCAACAGGACCCAGCACGAGUUCUGGGACGCCCGCGACAAGAUCAACCACUCCCGACUCCACCAGGCGGAGCUGAGCAGGAGCAGGUGGGAGGCUGCCUGCAGGGAGCUGCUCCCUGGAGAUAAUCCCAAGCUCGCCGAACUGCUAGAGAGUGAUUUGGAGGAUUCAAGAACUUGUGAAGCUCUUUUGGACACUGAAAACUCAGAACUGCUGGCACAACUGAAGGAAGAUGGAACUUGUGUAGAGCUUAAUGAAAACACUGCAGAUCAUGACCACAAUUCCGGAGAUUUAAUAUCAGAUCUAAGAAAGUUAAAGCGAACCUAUGAGACCAUUCUUGAGGGUGAGCUAAAUGAAAUGCACUCCUCGGAUAAGGAGAAUGACAUCCAGAAGCUCAAAGUUGGGGAAUCUAAGACUCUUAAACGCAAGUUGGCCUCCUUAUCAACUGUAAGCAUUUCAUUUUGA
Molecule: ribosomal RNA, 576 nt
Filed under: Triticum aestivum (bread wheat)
Lineage: Eukaryota; Viridiplantae; Streptophyta; Magnoliopsida; Poales; Poaceae
Description: partial small subunit ribosomal RNA
Source: RNAcentral